ACCUUUUGUAUAAUGGGUCAGCGACUUAUAUUCUGUAGCAAGGUUAACCGAAUAGGGGAGCCGAAGGGAAACCGAGUCUUAACUGGGCGUUAAGUUGCAGGGUAUAGACCCGAAACCCGGUGAUCUAGCCAUGGGCAGGUUGAAGGUUGGGUAACACUAACUGGAGGACCGAACCGACUAAUGUUGAAAAAUUAGCGGAUGACUUGUGGCUGGGGGUGAAAGGCCAAUCAAACCGGGAGAUAGCUGGUUCUCCCCGAAAGCUAUUUAGGUAGCGCCUCGUGAAUUCAUCUCCGGGGGUAGAGCACUGUUUCGGCAAGGGGGUCAUCCCGACUUACCAACCCGAUGCAAACUGCGAAUACCGGAGAAUGUUAUCACGGGAGACACACGGCGGGUGCUAACGUCCGUCGUGAAGAGGGAAACAACCCAGACCGCCAGCUAAGGUCCCAAAGUCAUGGUUAAGUGGGAAACGAUGUGGGAAGGCCCAGACAGCCAGGAUGUUGGCUUAGAAGCAGCCAUCAUUUAAAGAAAGCGUAAUAGCUCACUGGUCGAGUCGGCCUGCGCGGAAGAUGUAACGGGGCUAAACCAUGCACCGAAGCUGCGGCAGCGACGCUUAUGCGUUGUUGGGUAGGGGAGCG
Molecule: ribosomal RNA, 635 nt
Filed under: Escherichia coli
Lineage: Bacteria; Pseudomonadati; Pseudomonadota; Gammaproteobacteria; Enterobacterales; Enterobacteriaceae
Also listed under: 1 other name
Description: partial 23S ribosomal RNA
Rfam family: Bacterial large subunit ribosomal RNA
Source: RNAcentral